RNAcentral lists this ribosomal RNA (425 nucleotides) under uncultured Sphingobacteriales bacterium. RNAcentral's name for it is "bacterial SSU rRNA". It matches the Rfam family "Bacterial small subunit ribosomal RNA", at positions 954 to 1382 of the family's 1533-position model. Lineage: Bacteria; Pseudomonadati; Bacteroidota; Sphingobacteriia; Sphingobacteriales. The record is from RNAcentral.
AUGAUACGCGAGGACCUUACCUGGGCUCGAACGUAAGAUGACUGUAGGUGAAAGCUUACAUCUCUUCGGAGCAUUUUACGAGGUGCUGCAUGGUUGUCGUCAGCUCGUGCCGUGAGGUGUCGGGUUAAGUCCCAUAACGAGCGCAACCCUACCUUUAGUUGCCAUCAGGUAAUGCUGGGGACUCUAAAGGAACUGCCUACGCAAGUAGUGAGGAAGCGGGGAUGACGUCAAAUCAGCACGGCCCUUACGUCCAGGGCUACACACGUGCUACAAUGGCCGAUACAGAGGGCAGCUACCUGGUGACAGGAUGCAAAUCUCCAAAGUCGGUCUCAGUUCGGAUCGGAGUCUGCAACCCGACUCCGUGAAGUUGGAUUCGCUAGUAAUCGCGCAUCAGCCAUGGCGCGGUGAAUACGUUCCCGGGCCUU